Molecule: ribosomal RNA, 885 nt
Filed under: uncultured organism
Description: bacterial SSU rRNA
Rfam family: Bacterial small subunit ribosomal RNA
Source: RNAcentral
GCUUUUGGAGGGGGGUGCGUCCUAUCAGGUAGUUGGUGUGGUAAUAGCUCACCAAGCCUAUGACGGGUAGCCGGUCUGAGAGGAUGUCCGGCCGCAAUGGAACUGAGACACGGUCCAUACUCCUACGGGAGGCAGCAGUGGGGAAUCUUGCGCAAUGGGCGAAAGCCUGACGCAGCAAUCCCGCGUGAAGGAUGAAGCAUUAUGGUGUGUAAACUUCUUUUCUGGUGGAAGACGAAUGACGGUACACCAGGAAUAAGGGACGGCUAACUACGUGCCAGCAGCCGCGGUAAUACGUAGGUCCCAAGUGUUAUCCGGAAUUACUGGGCGUAAAGAGUCUGUAGCCGGGUUUGUAAGUCUGUUUUCAAAUCCUAUGGCUUAACCAUAGAGAGGGAAUGGAUACUGCAAACCUUGAGAUUAUUGGGGGUUGAUGGAAUUUCCGGUGGAGCGGUGAAAUGCGUUGAUAUCGGAAGGAACGCCAAAAGUGAAAGCAGUCAACUACAAUAAAUCUGACGGUCAGAGACGAAAGCUUGGGGAGCAAACGGGAUUAGAUACCCCGGUAGUCCAAGCCGUAAAUUAUGCAUGCUAGGUGUCUUGUUCACUUUAUGUGAGCGGGGUGCCGUAAUCUAACGAGUUAAGCAUGCCGCCUGGGUAGUAUAUUCGCAAGAAUGAAACUCAAAGGGAUAGGCGGGGGAACACACAAGCAGUGGAUUGUCUCGAUUAAUUGGAUAAUAAGCCAAGAAUCUUACCUAGACUUGACAUAUAUUGUGUCCUACGUGAAAGUGUAGUAAUCCCGAUUUUGUCGGGAUACGAUAUACAGGUGGUGCAUGGUCGUCGUCAGCUCGUGCCGCAAGAUGUCCAGUUAAGUCUGGGAACGAGCGCAACCCU